Molecule: long non-coding RNA, 9633 nt
Organism: Vespula vulgaris
Lineage: Eukaryota; Metazoa; Arthropoda; Insecta; Hymenoptera; Vespidae
Exons: 8
Source: RefSeq, a predicted model, not a curated record
CGUUGACAAAUUAAAUUUACAAUAUUGAAAUAAGGGUGUCACGAUCAGGUACACGCAUCACGUUCGAUCGUCGACGAUCUUUCUAUAUAUAAAAUAUAUCGAUACCAAACGAUAUUACAUUUGUUAUAAGGCAUAUACGUAUUACGUACAUACGCGUACACGUGCAUACAGAAAAAUUAAGAAAAAAAUAGCAAAAUAGAGCGAGGAAGAGAGAGAAAGAGAGAGAUGAAAGUUCAUUGUUUACGAGGAAGGACGUCUGUCCUAACAAACGGAGUUUUCGAUGAGGUCUCGUAUUUUUGUAUUCCUGUUGCUUUCUUUUAUUUUUUGAUUUUGAUUAAUUAACUAAUUAAAUUAUAAAAAUUUUAAUAUAUAUAUAUAUAUACAUAUAUAUAUAUAUAUAAUAUUAUUACACUGAAAGAAAAAGAGAAUGUUUAUACCAUUUACUAGCUGACGUAUACAAAGCAAAUCUUAUUACAAUGUUUAUAUGUUUCUAUAUAAGCUGAAAUAUCUAAAUACAACUUAUGUUAUUUACUUUCUGUCGAAUAUCGUAUGAGAUCAGUCUUUCGGCAACCACCGAGGUGGAAUGUUGGAAGAUCCCAUAUAAACAUACGUUUGUAAAUAGAUACAUAUGUACAUAACUAGAUACAUAAUAUACACACCCACGCACACAUACACAAAGUAUACAGUAUUCUUUCUCUUGGGUAUUGCUUGAGAUUUUCUUAUAUUGUAUGGACAGUAACGAGCAACCUUUGUUCUGCAAUGAGCCAAAAUUAAAUAUCUGAUAUUGUUAUUGAUACAUUAUGAACUAAAAAUGUUUAAAUUGAUUAAAAAGAUAUUAAUACUUGAUAGAAAAAGAAAAAAUUACACAUUAUUGAAGGGUAUUUGGUAUUUUCGGCAUCAAUUUACAAUGAAAUGUUUUCUAUAAUCCUAUUGAUUUUUUAUUAGCAAUACUUUUAAUGUGUACGCAUAAAUGUAUGUAUAUAUAUCUUUGUAAUGGAACGAAAUCUAUUAGUUGUUUAUUUUUAAUUAGAUAUAUGAUUCUACUUCUCGUUAAUAAACUUUACAUUAUUAUAUUGGAAGAUACAAUGGAAGAUAUCGAAUUAAACUCUAAUACAAUCUUUUAUUCGUUUGUCGUUAACGUUAAGACUUUUGAUAAAAGAUUUCAAUACUUCGGUUAAUAGUUAAAAUGCCUUUCAACUGGCCGUAGAUAACAAAGCUCUUCACAAAUGUAUCAACGUAAGAUGUAAUACCACUGAUUAAGAAAUUCACUAAUUAUAGUCGACUAUUGUCAUUUUUCGAUGCAAGAUGUAAGUCGUAUUUGCAUUGAUACGCAGAUGAAUACGUAUAUGAUAAUGUUUUUUUAUAAACCCUGAGUUUAUUUCUGAUACAGAUUGAGAUAUAUACAGAUAUAUAUAUAUAUAUAUAUAUAUAUAUAUAUAUAUAUAUAUAUAUUAUAUAUAAUAUGUAUAUAUAUAUACAGAGAGAGAGAGAGAGAGAGAGAGAGAGAGAGAGAGAGAGAGAGAGAGAGAGAGAAAGAAAGGGUAAACGAAUCGAGAAUUUGAAUAAAACAAAGAACGAUAUCGAGAUUAAAUUGAAAAGAAACUUUGUUAGCUCUUGACAAAAAGGCAUUCGAUAAGGAAGCAUUAGGCGUCCAAAGUACAAUUAUAUCAAAAACCCAUUCAAAUUAAAGAAGAUUACAUAUGUAUCUGAUUAUGAUACCUUAUAUUUCUUAUUAUUCAUAUAAAAGAAAAGAAAAAGAAAAAAAAAAACAGUUAAGAAGAAUAAGAAAGAAAUCUCAUCUUUAUUUCCCAAUAUCUUCAAUUAUGAUAGAUUUCUAAAUACAAUAAGGAUAAUAAUAACAAUAAUAACAACAACAAUAAUAUGCAGAAGAAGAAGAAGAAGAAGAAUAAAGUAUCUUGGUAUAUUCAAUUUUGCUUUCUUGUUCUUAUGUAGUAUAUGUAUCUAGUACAAUGUAAAUUUUAAUGUGGGAUUUCAUUUAAACGUGUCAUUUAAUGCGUAUUAUGAUUAAUAUGCAUUAUUCAUACACAUAUCAAGGUAUGUGUAUUUAAAUGAAUAUAGAAUUUAUACCUCGUUGACAAAUUAAAUUUACAAUAUUGAAAUAAGGGCGUCACGAUCAGGUACACGCAUCACGUUCGAUCGUCGACGAUCUUUCUAUAUAUAAAAUAUAUCGAUACCAAACGAUAUUACAUUUGUUGAAAGGCAUAUACGUAUUACGUACAUACGCGUACACGUGCAUACAGAAAAAUUAAGAAAAAAAUAGCAAAAUAGAGCGAGGAAGAGAGAGAGAGAGAGAGAGAUGAAAGUUCAUUGUUUACGAGGAAGGACGUCUGUCCUAACAAACGGAGUUUUCGAUGAGGUCUCGUAUUUUUGUAUUCCUGUUGCUUUCUUUUAUUUUUUGAUUUUGAUUAAUUAACUAAUUAAAUUAUAAAAAUUUUAAUAUAUAUAUAUAUAUAUAUAUAUAUAUAUAUAUUUAUAUAUAAUAUUAUUACACUGAAAGAAAAAGAGAAUGUUUAUACCAUUUACUAGCUGACGUAUACAAAGCAAAUCUUAUUACAAUGUUUAUAUGUUUCUCUAUAAGCUGAAAUAUCUAAAUCCACCUUAUGUUAUUUACUUUCUGUCGAAUAUCGUAUGAGAUCAGUCUUUCGGCAACCACCAAGGUGGAAUGUUGGAAGAUCCCAUAUAAACAUACGUUUGUAAAUAGAUACAUAUGUACAUAACUAGAUACAUAAUAUACACACCCACGCACACAUACACAAAGUAUACAGUAGUCUUUCUCUUGGGUAUUGCUUGAGAUUUUCUUAUAUUGUAUGGACAGUAACGAGCAACCUUUGUUCUGCAAUGAGCCAAAAUUAAAUAUCUGAUAUUGUUAUUGAUACAUUAUGAACUAAAAAUGUUUAAAUUGAUUAAAAAGAUAUUAAUACUUGAUAGAAAAAGAAAAAAUUACACAUUAUUGAAGGGUAUUUGUUAUUUUCGGCAUCAAUUUACAAUGAAAUGUUUUCUAUAAUCCUAUUGAUUUUUUAUUAGCAAUACUUUUAAUGUGUACGCAUAAAUGUAUGUAUAUAUAUCUUUGUAAUGGAACGAAAUCUAUUAGUUGUUUAUUUUUAAUUAGAUAUAUGAUUCUACUUCUCGUUAAUAAACUUUACAUUAUUAUAUUGGAAGAUACAAUGGAAGAUAUCGAAUUAAACUCUAAUACAAUCUUUUAUUCGUUUGUCGUUAACGUUAAGACUUUUGAUAAAAGAUUUCAAUACUUCGGUUAAUAGUUAAAAUGCCUUUCAACUGGACGUAGAUAACAAAGCUCUUCACAAAUGUAUCAACGUAAGAUGUAAUACCACUGAUUAAGAAAUUCACUAAUUAUAGUCAACUAUUGUCAUUUUUCGAUGCAAGAUGUAAGUCGUAUUUGCAUUGAUACGCAGAUGAAUACGUAUAUGAUAAUGUUUUUUUAUAAACCCUGAGUUUAUUUCUGAUACAGAUUGAGAUAUAUACAGAUAUAUAUAUAUAUAUAUAUAUAUAUACAUAUAUAUUAUAUAUUAUAUAUAAUAUGUAUAUAUAUAUACAGAGAGAGAGAGAGAGAGAGAGAGAGAGAGAGAGAGAGAAAGAAAGGGUAAACGAAUCGAGAAUUUGAAUAAAACAAAGAACGAUAUCGAGAUUAAAUUGAAAAGAAACUUUGUUAGCUCUUGACAAAAAGGCAUUCGAUAAGGAAGCAUUAGGCGUCCAAAGUACAAUUAUAUCAAAAACCCAUUCAAAUUAAAGAAGAUUACAUAUGUAUCUGAUUAUGAUACCUUAUAUUUCUUAUUAUUCAUAUAAAAGAAAAGAAAAAGAAAAAAAAAACAGUUAAGAAGAAUAAGAAAGAAAUCUCAUCUUUAUUUCCCAAUAUCUUCAAUUAUGAUGGAUUUCUAAAUACAAUAAGGAUAAUAAUAACAAUAAUAACAACAACAAUAAUAUGCAGAAGAAGAAGAAGAAGAAGAAUAAAGUAUCUUGGUAUAUUCAAUUUUGCUUUCUUGUUCUUAUGUAGUAUAUGUAUCUAGUACAAUGUAAAUUUUAAUGUGGGAUUUCAUUUAAACGUGUCAUUUAAUGCGUAUUAUGAUUAAUAUGCAUUAUUCAUACACAUAUCAAGGUAUGUGUAUUUAAAUGAAUAUAGAAUUUAUACGUCGUUGACAAAUUAAAUUUACAAUAUUGAAAUAAGGGUGUCACGAUCAGGUACACGCAUCACGUUCGAUCGUCGACGAUCUUUCUAUAUAUAAAAUAUAUCGAUACCAAACGAUAUUACAUUUGUUGAAAGGCAUAUACGUAUUACGUACAUACGCGUACACGUGCAUACAGAAAAAUUAAGAAAAAAAUAGCAAAAUAGAGCGAGGAAGAGAGAGAGAGAGAGAGAGAUGAAAGUUCAUUGUUUACGAGGAAGGACGUCUGUCCUAACAAACGGAGUUUUCGAUGAGGUCUCGUAUUUUUGUAUUCCUGUUGCUUUCUUUUAUUUUUUGAUUUUGAUUAAUUAACUAAUUAAAUUAUAAAAAUUUUAAUAUAUAUAUAUAUACAUAUAUAUAUAUAUAUAAUAUUAUUACACUGAAAGAAAAAGAGAAUGUUUAUACCAUUUACUAGCUGACGUAUAGAAAGCAAAUCUUAUUACAAUGUUUAUAUGUUUCUCUAUAAGCUGAAAUAUCUAAAUCCACCUUAUGUUAUUUACUUUCUGUCGAAUAUCGUAUGAGAUCAGUCUUUCGGCAACCACCAAGGUGGAAUGUUGGAAGAUCCCAUACAAACAUACAUUUGUAAAUAGAUACAUAUGUGUAUAUGUACAUAUGUACGUAACUAGAUACAUAAUAUACACACCCACACACACAUACACAAAGUAUAUAGUAGUCUUUCCUUGGGUAUUGCUUGAGGUUUAUUAUAUUGUGUAGACAGUAAUGAGCAACCUUUCUUCUGCAAUGAGCCAAAAUUAAAUAUCUGAUAUUGUUAUUGAUAGAAUUCAUUAUGAACUAAAAAUGUUUAAAUUGAUUAACAAAGAAAUUAAUACUUAAUAGAAAAAGAAAAAAUUACACAUUAUUGAAGGGUAUUUGUUAUUGUCGGCAUCAAUUUACAAUGAAAUGUUUUCUAUAAUUCCAUUGAUUUUUUAUUAGCAAUACUUUUAAUGUGUACGCAUAAAUGUAUGUAUAUACAUUUGUGUAAUGGAACGAAAUCUAUUAGUUGUUUAUUUUUAAUUAGAUAUAUGAUUCUACUUCUCGUUAAUAAACUUUACAUUAUUAUAUUGGAAGAUACAAUGGAAGAUAUCCAAUUAAACUCUAAUACAAUCUUUUAUUCGUUUGUCGUUAACGUUAAGACUUUUGAUAAAAGAUUUCAAUACUUCGGUUAAUAGUUAAAAUGCCUUUCAACUGGCCGUAGAUAACAAAACUCUUCACAAAUGUAUCAACGUAAGAUGUAAUACCACUGAUUAAGAAAUUCACUAAUUAUAGUCGACUAUUGUCAUUUUUCGAUGCAAGAUGUAAGUCGUAAUUGCAUUGAGGCGUAUAUGAAUACGUAUAUGAUAAUCUUUUUUUGUAAACCCUUAGUUACUCAUUUCUGUUAUGUAUUAUAUACUAUAUAUAUAUAGAGAGAGAGAGAGAGAAAGAGAAAGGGUAAACGAAUCGAUUAUUGAAAUAAAACAAAGAACGAUAUCGAGAUUAAAUUGGAAUGAAACUUUGUUAGCUCUUGACAAAGAGGCACUCGAUAAGGAAGCAUGAGCCGUCCAAAGUACAAUUAUGUCAAAAACCCAUUCAUAUUAAAGACGAUUACACAUAUAUCCGAUUAUGAUACCUUUCUAAGUCCUGAAAUAAUUCCAUUCAAAUUUAUAUUACACUACUGCCAUGUAUGGUAAGUAAUUGAUUGUAAAGACUUUUAAUAGACUAAGAAGUGGCGGAUUCCAAGGAUUUCUAUAUAAUAUAAUAUAUAAGUUCUGUGUACCGUAGACUCUUCAUUUUUGAGGAAACAAGUUUUUUCAAACCUCUGGGAAUACCUAAUAAGUAACGUAGCUAUUUCUGGUUUUUGAAAGUUAAUGCAUAGUUUAAAAUGGAAAUAUAUACGAUGGAAACAUACUGACAAUUUUUGCGGGUUUAAAUGCUCCAAUUAUUACAGAAAGAUUUGGUCCUAUAAAAGAUUAUUUUUUGGACAUUCAUCUGUCACAGCUUCACAAUUCUUUUCUUCAUACUGUACGUCACACGCUUCGCGUAUAGCCUCUUUUUUUAUCGAUCAAGAACUAUCUCCAACAAAAUACGAUAACAGAAAUUAAGAAGUUUCGUAAUUCUUUCAUAGAAGUAACUUUUACUUCUACAAUAAAAAGAAAUUAAUAAAUGUUAUAGCUAUGUGUGUCAUGCAACGUGAAAUAAAAACUGACCUUUUUCAAUGCAUACAAAAAUGUUUUGGUGAAAGAAAAUCUGAUCCAUUGGUUCUUGAUUGUCCAGGAUGAUGAUUCUUUCUUUUGCGAAGCUAUAAAAGCGGUUGAUAUACUUUUGGCUGCGGCAAGUCUUGCUGUUUUUCUUUGUAAAUCCAGAAAUAAUUCAAUUCCAAUUAUACAUUACGCCAUUAGCGUACAACUAGUUGAUUGGAAAGAUUUUCCAUUGACUCAUAGAUGGCGUUGACUGAAGAAUUUCCAAACUAUAUAUAGAUCGUUUGUAGACUUCACUCGUACAUGAUUGGCCCGAUCUGGACAAAAAAAAGAUCCGCCUAGAGGGCGCAACGAGAGCUCACCCAUGAGUCCGGUCCCGUUCUUCUAGGUGCUAUAGUUUCAGUAAACCGCUGUAACGUCCGUAAGAGUGCUCUAACCUCACUCGAACUUCCAUAACGUCCGUAAUAUCGCCGGAACUACAUAACGUCCGUAAAAGUGCCGUAACAUCACUCGAACAUCCAUAACGUCUGUCUUACGUCCGUAAGAGUGCCGUAACCUCACUCGACCAUCCGAAACGUCUGUCGAACAUCCGUAACGUCCGUAACAUCGCCGUAACGUCUGUCACAGCUCCGUGACAUCACAGAUGAUCGAAAUAACGCCGGAACGUCUGUCACACGUCCGUGACGACCGUAACAACGCCGUAAUGUCCGUCUGAAGUCCCUGACGUCCAUAAGAACACCGUAACGUCUGUCACAGGUCCGUGACGUCACAGAUGAUGGAAACAACGCCGUAACGUCCGUAACAACGCCGUAACGUCUGUCACAGGUCCGUGACGUCAUAGAUGAUCGAAACAACGCUGUAACGUUUCUCAGAGAUCUGUGACGUCACAGAUGAUAGAAAAACAACGCCGUAACUCCUGUCACAGGUCCGUGACGUCACAGAUGAUCGAAACAAGGCCGUAACUUCUGUAACAGGUCCGUGACGUCACAGAUGAUAGAAAAACAACGCCGUAACGACUCUAAUAGAUCUGUGACGUCACAGAUGAUAUAAACAACGCCGUAAUUUCUGUCACAGGUCCGUGACGUCACAGAUGGUCAAAACAACGCCGUAAUUUCUGUCACAGGUCCGUGACGUCACAGAUGAUAGAAACAACGCCGUAACUUCUGUCACAGGUCCGUGACGUCACAGAUGAUAGAAAAACAACGCCGAAACGUCUCUAAUAGAUCGGUGACGUCACAGAUGAUAGAAACAACGCCGUAAUUUCUGUCACUGGUCCGUGACGUCACAGAUGAUAGAAAAACAACGCCGUAACGUCUCUAAUAGAUCGGUGACGUCACAGAUGAUAGAAACAACGCCGUAAUUUCUGUCACAGGUCCGUGACGUCACAGAUGAUAGAAAAACAACGCCGUAACGUCUCUAAUAGAUCUGUGACGUCACAGAUGAUAGAAACAACGCCGUAACGUCUCUAAUAGUUCGGUGACGUCACAGAUGAUAGAAACAACGCCGUAACUUCUGUCACAGGUCCGUGACGUCACAGAUGAUAGAAACAACGCCGUAAUUUCUGUCACAGGUCCGUGACGUCACAGAUGGUCAAAACAACGCCGUAAUUUCUGUCACAGGUCCGUGACGUCACAGAUGAUAGAAACAACGCCGUAAUUUCUGUCACUGGUCCGUGACGUCACAGAUGAUAGAAAAACAACGCCGUAACGUCUCUAAUAGAUCGGUGACGUCACAGAUGAUAGAAACAACGCCGUAAUUUCUGUCACAGGUCCGUGACGUCACAGAUGAUAGAAACAACGCCGUAACUUCUGUCACAGGUCCGUGACGUCACAGAUGAUAGAAAAACAACGCCGUAACGUCUCUAAUAGAUCGGUGACGUCACAGAUGAUAGAAACAACGCCGUAACUUCUGUCACAGGUCCGUGACGUCACAGAUGAUAGAAAAACAACGCCGUAACGUCUCUAAUAGAUCUGUGACGUCACAGAUGAUAGAAACAACGCCGUAACGUCUCUAAUAGUUCGGUGACGUCACAGAUGAUAGAAACAACGCCGUAACUUCUGUCACAGGUCCGUGACGUCACAGAUGAUAGAAACAACGCCGUAACUUCUGUCACAGGUCCGUGACGUCACAGAUGAUAGAAAAACAACGCCGUAACGUCUCUAAUAGAUCGGUGACGUCACAGAUGAUAGAAACAACGCCGUAACUUCUGUCACAGGUCCGUGACGUCACAGAUGAUAGAAAAACAACGCCGUAACGUCUCUAAUAGAUCGGUGACGUCACAGAUGAUAGAAACAACGCCGUAAUUUCUGUCACAGGUCCGUGACGUCACAGAUGAUAGAAAAACAACGCCGUAACGUCUCUAAUAGAUCUGUGACGUCACAGAUGAUAGAAACAACGCCGUAAUUUCUGUAACAGGUCCGUGACGUCACAGAUGAUAGAAACAACGCCGUAAUUUCUGUCACAGGUCCGUGACGUCACAGAUGAUAGAAACAACGCCGUAAUUUCUGUCACAGGUCCGUGACGUCACAGAUGAUAGAAACAACGCCGUAAUUUCUGUCACAGGUCCGUGACGUCACAGAUGAUAGAAACAGCACCGUAAUUUCUGUCACAGGUCCGUGACGUCACAGAUGAUAGAAACAACGCCGUAAUUUCUGUCACAGGUCCGUGACGUCACAGAUGAUAGAAACAACGCCGUAAUUUCUGUCACAGGUCCGUGACGUCACAGAUGAUAGAAAAACAACGCCGUAACAUCUCUAAUAGAUCUGUGACGUCACAGAUGAUAGAAACAACGCCGUAAUUUCUGUCACAGGUCCGUGACGUCACAGAUGAUAGAAAAACAACGCCGUAACUCCUGACAUAGGUCCGUGACGUCAUAGAUGAUCGAAACAAUGCUGUAACGUAUCUCAGAGAUCUGUGACGUCACAGAUGAUAGAAAAACAACGCCGUAACUCCUGUCACAGGUCCGUGACGUCACAGAUGAUAGAAACAACGCCGUAACUUCUGUCACAGGUCCGUGACGUCACAGAUGAUAGAAAAACAACGCCGUAACGUCUCUAAUAGAUCGGUGACGUCACAGAUGAUCGAAACAAGGCCGUAACUUCUGUAACAGGUCCGUGACGUCACAGAUGAUAGAAAAACAACGCCGUAACGACUCUAAUAGAUCUGUGACGUCACAGAUGAUAUAAACAACGCCGUAAUUUCUGUCACAGGUCCGUGACGUCACAGAUGGUCAAAACAACGCCGUAAUUUCUGUCACA